This 333-nucleotide non-coding RNA is filed under the name Pelecanus crispus (Dalmatian pelican). Its description in RNAcentral is "Eukaryotic large subunit ribosomal RNA". It matches the Rfam family "Eukaryotic large subunit ribosomal RNA", at positions 2018 to 2306 of the family's 3401-position model. The record is from Rfam by way of RNAcentral. Lineage: Eukaryota; Metazoa; Chordata; Aves; Pelecaniformes; Pelecanidae.
GGCAUCGGCGCGCGGUUCCGCAGGGGAGGGUCCCCGGGGAGGUCCCCGGGCCGGCGCCCCGCCUCGGCUGGCGCCUAGCAGCCCGCUUAGAACUGGUGCGGACCAGGGGAAUCCGACUGUUUCAUUAAAACAAAGCAUUGCGAAGGCCCGCGCCGGGCGUUGACGCGAUGUGAUUUCUGCCCCGUGCUCUGAAUGUCAAAGUGAAGAAAUUCAAUGAAGCGCGGGUAAACGGCGGGGGAAACUAUAACUCUCUUAAGAAGCGAUACACAUAGUUACUAACUGGGCAGAGCUGCAGAGGUCACACCUCCACGUGGUCCCGCUGGAUGCCCUUUG